This 232-nucleotide ribosomal RNA is filed under the name uncultured bacterium. RNAcentral describes it as "partial 16S ribosomal RNA". It matches the Rfam family "Bacterial small subunit ribosomal RNA", at positions 28 to 260 of the family's 1533-position model. The record is from RNAcentral.
GACGAACGCUGGCGGCGUGCUUAACACAUGCAAGUCGAGCGGUAAGGCCCUUUCGGGGGGUACACGAGCGGCGAACGGGUGAGUAACACGUGGGUGACCUGCCCUCAGCUCUGGGAUAAGCCUGGGAAACCGGGUCUAAUACUGGAUAUGACUCCAUGACGCAUGUUGUGGGGUGGAAAGCCUUGUGCGGCUGAGGAUGGGCCCGCGGCCUAUCAGCUUGUUGGUGGGGUGA